Hydra vulgaris (swiftwater hydra) is the source of this 909-nucleotide RNA transcript. RefSeq lists it as uncharacterized. Lineage: Eukaryota; Metazoa; Cnidaria; Hydrozoa; Anthoathecata; Hydridae. The record is from RefSeq and is a predicted model, not a curated record.
UAAUAAAAUUUUUGUACAAAAAAAUAAUAUUGCAUUUUUUUAAAAAAUUCAUUUUCAUUUAAAUAAAAUUUUAAUUCUAAAUAUAAAACAAUAUAUUGAACGCCAUUCCAUAUAUUGAUGCUUUGAAGAAUCGAAUCGAAGUACUGUCGCCAGCUGGGCUUCUCUCACUAGAUGAAUUGCCAAUUAAAACUGAUUUAAUACGAAGAAGGCAUAAGAAAGAGCUCUUUAAACUAGAUAUGCUAAUAUGCUGCAUGGUGGCAAAAUUCCAUUGGACGCUUGUAAUAAUCAAACCAGGUGAUAGAAAAAUUCACUAUAUAGACCCUAUGGGAGAACAGAUGAACUCCAUUAAAAAAGAAGAAGUGAAAUGGAAUUGCUACUUACAACAGAGAUAUGGUGUUUCAGAAAAGUUUAAAAUCUUAACGUUACCACAUGCUAUACAAGCUAUACAAACUGUACAAGCUAUACAUGCCAUACAUGCUAUACAAGCUGAUGGUAUAUCAUGUGGAGUAUUCUGCCUUAAAUUUGCUAAAAAUUAUAUAAAUGGAGAAGAAUUGAUGCGUGUCUUUCCACAUGAAGAAGUGAAUGCAUACGGAAAGAGAGUGGUACAUCUUCUAUUAGAUAAAGGUUUGUGAGAUUCUUUAGAGCACUGAAAUUAAUUCAAUGUUAAAUGACAUCUUAAAAUAAAGACCAAAAAAAAUGAUGCAAAAGUAAAUCAAUAGCUCAAAUUUGUUUGUGUCGAAAUUGUGAAAUUGGUCCAAAAACUAGAAAAAAUUAAAAAAAAGAAAAAUGGAUAAAAUGUGAUAUUUGCAUUUCGAAUAGAUGGUAUCUUAUGGGAUGCAUUGUUUUUAGAAAUAAAACUUUAUUUUGUUGUGAAAAUAUUUAUAUAUAAAUGUAACAAUAAAUGAAACU